UAGGGAAUCUUCGGCAAUGGACGGAAGUCUGACCGAGCAACGCUGCGUGAGUGAAGAAGGUUUCCGGAUCGUAAAGCUCUGUUGUUAGAGAAGAACGUUGGUAGGAGUGGAAAAUCUACCAAGUGACGGUAACUAACCCGAAAGGGACGGCUAACUACGUGCCAGCAGCCGCGGUAAUACGUAGGUCCCGAGCGUUGUCCGGAUUUAUUGGGCGUAAAGCGAGCGCAGGCGGUUCUUUAAGUCUGAAGUUAAAGGCAGUGGCUUAACCAUUGUACGCUUUGAAAACUGGAGGACAUGAGUGCAGAAGGGGAGGGUGGAAUUCCAUGUGUAGCGGUGAAAUGCGUAGAUAUAUGGAGGAACACCGGUGGCGGAAGCGGCUCUCUGGUCUGUAACUGACGCUGAGGCUCGAAAGCGUGAGGAGCAAGCAGG
Molecule: ribosomal RNA, 429 nt
Filed under: Bacillota bacterium
Lineage: Bacteria; Bacillati; Bacillota
Description: Firmicutes bacterium partial 16S ribosomal RNA
Rfam family: Bacterial small subunit ribosomal RNA
Source: RNAcentral